CCUACGGGUCGCAGCAGUGGGGAAUAUUGCACAAUGGGCGCAAGCCUGAUGCAGCCAUGCCGCGUGUAUGAAGAAGGCCUUCGGGUUGUAAAGUACUUUCAGCGGGGAGGAAGGUGUUGUGGUUAAUAACCACAACAAUUGACGUUACCCGCAGAAGAAGCACCGGCUAACUCCGUGCCAGCAGCCGCGGUAAUACGGAGGGUGCAAGCGUUAAUCGGAAUUACUGGGCGUAAAGCGCACGCAGGCGGUCUGUCAAGUCGGAUGUGAAAUCCCCGGGCUCAACCUGGGAACUGCAUUCGAAACUGGCAGGCUAGAGUCUUGUAGAGGGGGGUAGAAUUUCAGGUGUAGCGGUGAAAUGCGUAGAGAUCUGAAGGAAUACCAGUGGCGAAGGCGGCCCCCUGGACAAAGACUGACGCUCAGAUGCGAAAGCGUGGGGAGCAAACAGGAUUAGAUACCCCGGUAGUC
Molecule: ribosomal RNA, 465 nt
Filed under: uncultured bacterium
Lineage: Bacteria
Description: bacterial SSU rRNA
Rfam family: Bacterial small subunit ribosomal RNA
Source: RNAcentral